UUAUCACGUAGUGUUUUCUGCAACCUCGGAUGAAGGAAUUAUUUAUUUGAGAGGAGUUUUGACUGUGAAAUUGGACCAUAUACUUGGUAUAGUUAAUUAUUAAGCAUUAUUUUUGGGAAUAGAUUAAGUUAAAUUUAGAAGAGAGCUUUUAACCAUGCCUAGGAACAAGUGGAAAAUCUGGUCAGCAAGAUCAUAGUGAGAGAUCCUUUUAACCCUCUUAAACUCAUCCAAAUAAGGGGCUUUUUGACAUUUUGCAUCCCCAAGGAACAUACCUCAGUAUCAUAGUAACCUCCACCCAUUUAUAAUUCAUUUACCACUUGCCCAGAACCUUUCUUUCUCUCUCUUCUACUCGCCCAAAACCAGCGAAGGUAGCUGAGCUACCAUUUCUCUUCUCCUCCGUUUUCCUCUUCUCUUUUCUUGCAUGCAAGUUUAUCAAACUAAUAUUUGAUGUUUAUUACAGAGUGGGUAGCAAGAUAUUCGUAGGAAAAAUCUUGGGAACUUGGAGAAUUAGAGGCAAAAUUUUAAUCAGGUAAAUCUGGAACUCAGUCACUAUUUGAGGUUAUAAAUAAAAAUGCGUUGGAGAUCUUGGACUGACUUCUUGAUGAUUUUUGUUCAUUGAUAUGAGGUGCAUCUUGGUGUAAAAUUUCGUGGGAAAAAGAGGAGUUUAGGUCCACAAAAUCUCUGUUGUAAGACCCUUGUGGAUCGUGCAGGUAGACCGAUGGUGGUUCUUUUGCUUAAUGUAUAUAUUGUGUGAUGAAUAAUGUAAUUAAGUAGUAUCUUGGGUUUCGUGGUUAGCUGGUCUUACGUAUGUAGACAAGUAAUGUAUUUUGGCUGAAGGAAUGGGUUGUAAGUCUUGUAUUAUCUAUGUUAUUGUGGUCAAGUACCUUCAAACAUAUCAUGUUUUGUAAUGACUUAAAGGAUGGUUCCUUGUGUGG
Molecule: long non-coding RNA, 935 nt
Organism: Spinacia oleracea (spinach)
Lineage: Eukaryota; Viridiplantae; Streptophyta; Magnoliopsida; Caryophyllales; Amaranthaceae
Exons: 2
Source: RefSeq, a predicted model, not a curated record